This 497-nucleotide ribosomal RNA is filed under the name uncultured bacterium. RNAcentral's name for it is "partial 16S ribosomal RNA". It matches the Rfam family "Bacterial small subunit ribosomal RNA", at positions 28 to 507 of the family's 1533-position model. The record is from RNAcentral.
GAUGAACGCUGGCGGCGUGCCUAAUACAUGCAAGUCGAGCGAACGGACGAGAAGCUUUCUUCUCUGAUGUUAGCGGCGGACGGGUGAGUAACACGUGGAUAACCUACCUAUAAGACUGGGAUAACUUCGGGAAACCGGAGCUAAUAACGGAUGAUAUUUUGAACCGCAUGGUUCAAAAGUGAAAGACGGUCUUGCUGUCACUUAUAGAUGGAUCCGCGCUGCAUUAGCUAGUUGGUAAGGUAACGGCUUACCAAGGCAACGAUGCAUAGCCGACCUGAGAGGGUGAUCGGCCACACUGGAACUGAGACACGGUCCAGACUCCUACGGGAGGCAGCAGUAGGGAAUCUUCCGCAAUGGGCGAAAGCCUGACGGAGCAACGCCGCGUGGGUGAUGAAGGUCUUCGGAUCGUAAAACUCUGUUAUUAGGGAAGAACAUAUGUGUAAGUAACUGUGCACAUCUUGACGGUACCUAAUCAGAAAGCCACGGCUAACUACGUG